This 248-nucleotide unclassified non-coding RNA is filed under the name uncultured Lasiosphaeriaceae. RNAcentral's name for it is "sequence contains ITS2". Lineage: Eukaryota; Fungi; Ascomycota; Sordariomycetes; Sordariales; Lasiosphaeriaceae. The record is from RNAcentral.
AACGCACAUUGCGCCCGCUAGUAUUCUGGCGGGCAUGCCUGUUCGAGCGUCAUUUCAACCAUCAAGCCCCUGUGCUUGUGCUGGAGCCCUGCGGCUGCCGCAGGCUCCCAAACCCAGUGGCGGGCUCGUCGUCGUACCGAGUGCAGUAAACUUACCACGCUCAGGGCACGCGACGGGUGACCGGCCGUAAAACCCCCUACUUCUCAAAGGUUGACCUCGGAUCAGGUAGGAAUACCCGCUGAACUUAA